Molecule: ribosomal RNA, 2891 nt
Filed under: Acinetobacter baumannii NIPH 615
Lineage: Bacteria; Pseudomonadati; Pseudomonadota; Gammaproteobacteria; Moraxellales; Moraxellaceae
Description: bacterial LSU rRNA
Rfam family: Bacterial large subunit ribosomal RNA
Source: RNAcentral
UCAAGUAAUUAAGUGCAUGUGGUGGAUGCCUUGGCAGUCAGAGGCGAUGAAAGACGUGAUAGCCUACGAAAAGCUCCGGGGAGGCGGCAAAUAUCCUUUGAUCCGGAGAUGUCUGAAUGGGGGAACCCACCUACUUUAAGGUAGGUAUUGCAACAUGAAUACAUAGUGUUGCAAGGCGAACGAGGGGAAGUGAAACAUCUCAGUACCCUUAGGAAAAGAAAUCAAUUGAGAUUCCCUCAGUAGCGGCGAGCGAACGGGGAUCAGCCCAUUAAGUUAUGUGUGUUUUAGUGGAACGCUCUGGGAAGUGCGAACGUAGAGGGUGAUAUUCCCGUACACGAAAGGGCACACAUAAUGAUGACGAGUAGGGCGAGGCACGUGAAACCUUGUCUGAAUAUGGGGGGACCAUCCUCCAAGGCUAAAUACUCCUGACUGACCGAUAGUGAACCAGUACCGUGAGGGAAAGGCGAAAAGAACCCCUGUGAGGGGAGUGAAAUAGAUCCUGAAACCGCAUGCAUACAAGCAGUGGGAGCACCUUCGUGGUGUGACUGCGUACCUUUUGUAUAAUGGGUCAGCGACUUAUAUUCAGUAGCGAGGUUAACCGUAUAGGGGAGCCGUAGAGAAAUCGAGUCUUAAUAGGGCGUUUAGUUGCUGGGUAUAGACCCGAAACCAGGCGAUCUAUCCAUGAGCAGGUUGAAGGUUGGGUAACACUAACUGGAGGACCGAACCCACUGUCGUUGAAAAGCCAGGGGAUGACUUGUGGAUAGGGGUGAAAGGCUAAUCAAGCCUGGUGAUAGCUGGUUCUCCCCGAAAGCUAUUUAGGUAGCGCCUCGGACGAAUACCAUAGGGGGUAGAGCACUGUUUCGGCUAGGGGGUCAUCCCGACUUACCAAACCGAUGCAAACUCCGAAUACCUAUGAGUACUAUCCGGGAGACAGACUGCGGGUGCUAACGUCCGUAGUCAAGAGGAAAACAAUCCAGACCGCCAGCUAAGGCCCCAAAAUCAUAGUUAAGUGGGAAACGAUGUGGGAAGGCAUAGACAGCUAGGAGGUUGGCUUAGAAGCAGCCACCCUUUAAAGAAAGCGUAAUAGCUCACUAGUCGAGUCGGCCUGCGCGGAAGAUGUAACGGGGCUAAAACUAUGUGCCGAAGCUGCGGAUGUAUACUUUGUAUACGUGGUAGGGGAGCGUUCUGUAAGCCGAUGAAGGUGUGUUGAGAAGCAUGCUGGAGGUAUCAGAAGUGCGAAUGCUGACGUGAGUAACGACAAAACGGGUGAAAAACCCGUUCGCCGAAAGACCAAGGGUUCCAGUCCAACGUUAAUCGGGGCUGGGUGAGUCGACCCCUAAGGCGAGGCCGAAAGGCGUAGUCGAUGGGAAAAUGGUUAAUAUUCCAUUACUUCUGUGUAAUGCGAUGAGAGGACGGAGAAGGCUAAAUCAGCCUGGCGUUGGUUGUCCAGGUGAAAGGAUGUAGGCAUGUAUCUUAGGCAAAUCCGGGGUACUCUAUGCUGAGAUCUGAUAGCAAGCUGUACUUGUAAAGCGAAGUGGUUGAUGCCAUGCUUCCAGGAAAAGUCUCUAAGCUUCAGUUACACAGGAAUCGUACCCGAAACCGACACAGGUGGUCAGGUCGAGUAGACCAAGGCGCUUGAGAGAACUCUGCUGAAGGAACUAGGCAAAAUGGUACCGUAACUUCGGGAGAAGGUACGCUGUUGUUGGUGAUGGAACUCGCUUCCUGAGCUGACGACAGCCGCAGAAACCAGGCCGCUGCAACUGUUUAUUAAAAACAUAGCACUCUGCAAACACGAAAGUGGACGUAUAGGGUGUGAUGCCUGCCCGGUGCUGGAAGGUUAAUUGAUGGGGUUAGCGUAAGCGAAGCUCUUGAUCGAAGCCCCAGUAAACGGCGGCCGUAACUAUAACGGUCCUAAGGUAGCGAAAUUCCUUGUCGGGUAAGUUCCGACCUGCACGAAUGGCAUAAUGAUGGCGGCGCUGUCUCCAGCAGAGGCUCAGUGAAAUCGAAAUCGCUGUGAAGAUGCAGUGUACCCGCGGCUAGACGGAAAGACCCCGUGAACCUUUACUGCAGCUUGACACUGAACUUUGACCUUACUUGUGUAGGAUAGGUGGGAGGCUUUGAAGCUGGAACGCUAGUUCCAGUGGAGCCGUCCUUGAAAUACCACCCUGGUAAUGUUGAGGUUCUAACUCUGUCCCGUGAUCCGGGACGAGGACCGUGUCUGGUGGGUAGUUUGACUGGGGCGGUCUCCUCCUAAAGAGUAACGGAGGAGUACGAAGGUGCGCUCAGCGUGGUCGGAAAUCACGCGUAGAGUAUAAAGGCAAAAGCGCGCUUAACUGCGAGACCCACAAGUCGAGCAGGUACGAAAGUAGGUCUUAGUGAUCCGGUGGUUCUGUAUGGAAGGGCCAUCGCUCAACGGAUAAAAGGUACUCUGGGGAUAACAGGCUGAUACCGCCCAAGAGUUCAUAUCGACGGCGGUGUUUGGCACCUCGAUGUCGGCUCAUCUCAUCCUGGGGCUGAAGCAGGUCCCAAGGGUAUGGCUGUUCGCCAUUUAAAGAGGUACGCGAGCUGGGUUUAGAACGUCGUGAGACAGUUCGGUCCCUAUCUACCGUGGGCGCUGGAAAUUUGAGAGGAUCUGCUCCUAGUACGAGAGGACCAGAGUGGACGAACCUCUGGUGUACCGGUUGUGACGCCAGUCGCAUCGCCGGGUAGCUAUGUUCGGAAGGGAUAACCGCUGAAAGCAUCUAAGCGGGAAGCCUACCUCAAGAUAAGAUUUCCCUAGGACUUUAUGUCCUCUAAAGAGCCGUUCGAGACUAGGACGUUGAUAGGUUGGAUGUGGAAGCAUAGUGAUAUGUGAAGCUGACCAAUACUAAUUGCUCGUGAGGCUUGACUAU